GAUGAAGGACGUUACUAACGACGAUAUGCUUUGGGGAGCUGUAAGUAAGCUUUGAUCCAGAGAUUUCCGAAUGGGGAAACCCAGCAUGAGUUAUGUCAUGUUAUCGAUAUGUGAAUACAUAGCAUAUCAGAAGGCACACCCGGAGAACUGAAACAUCUUAGUACCCGGAGGAAGAGAAAGAAAAUUCGAUUCCCUUAGUAGCGGCGAGCGAAACGGGAAGAGCCCAAACCAAAAAGCUUGCUUGUUGGGGUUGUAGGACACUCUAUACGGAGUUACAAAGGACGACAUUAGACGAAUCAUCUGGAAAGAUGAAUCAAAGAAGGUAAUAAUCCUGUAGUCGAAAAUGUUGUCUCUCUUGAGUGGAUCCUGAGUACGACGGAGCACGUGAAAUUCCGUCGGAAUCUGGGAGGACCAUCUCCUAAGGCUAAAUACUCUCUAGUGACCGAUAGUGAACCAGUACCGUGAGGGAAAGGUGAAAAGCACCCCGGAAGGGGAGUGAAAUAGAACCUGAAACCGUGUGCUUACAAGUAGUCAGAGCCCGUUAAUGGGUGAUGGCGUGCCUUUUGUAGAAUGAACCGGCGAGUUACGAUUUGAUGCAAGGUUAAGCAGUAAAUGUGGAGCCGUAGCGAAAGCGAGUCUGAAUAGGGCGUUUAGUAUUUGGUCGUAGACCCGAAACCAGGUGAUCUACCCUUGGUCAGGUUGAAGUUCAGGUAACACUGAAUGGAGGACCGAACCGACUUACGUUGAAAAGUGAGCGGAUGAACUGAGGGUAGCGGAGAAAUUCCAAUCGAACCUGGAGAUAGCUGGUUCUCUCCGAAAUAGCUUUAGGGCUAGCCUCAAGUGAUGAUUAUUGGAGGUAGAGCACUGUUUGGACGAGGGGCCCCUCUCGGGUUACCGAAUUCAGACAAACUCCGAAUGCCAAUUAAUUUAACUUGGGAGUCAGAACAUGGGUGAUAAGGUCCGUGUUCGAAAGGGAAACAGCCCAGACCACCAGCUAAGGUCCCAAAAUAUAUGUUAAGUGGAAAAGGAUGUGGCGUUGCCCAGACAACUAGGAUGUUGGCUUAGAAGCAGCCAUCAUUUAAAGAGUGCGUAAUAGCUCACUAGUCGAGUGACACUGCGCCGAAAAUGUACCGGGGCUAAACAUAUUACCGAAGCUGUGGAUUGUCCUUUGGACAAUGGUAGGAGAGCGUUCUAAGGGCGUUGAAGCAUGAUCGUAAGGACAUGUGGAGCGCUUAGAAGUGAGAAUGCCGGUGUGAGUAGCGAAAGACGGGUGAGAAUCCCGUCCACCGAUUGACUAAGGUUUCCAGAGGAAGGCUCGUCCGCUCUGGGUUAGUCGGGUCCUAAGCUGAGGCCGACAGGCGUAGGCGAUGGAUAACAGGUUGAUAUUCCUGUACCACCUAUAAUCGUUUUAAUCGAUGGGGGGACGCAGUAGGAUAGGCGAAGCGUGCGAUUGGAUUGCACGUCUAAGCAGUAAGGCUGAGUAUUAGGCAAAUCCGGUACUCGUUAAGGCUGAGCUGUGAUGGGGAGAAGACAUUGAGUCUUCGAGUCGUUGAUUUCACACUGCCGAGAAAAGCCUCUAGAUAGAAAAUAGGUGCCCGUACCGCAAACCGACACAGGUAGUCAAGAUGAGAAUUCUAAGGUGAGCGAGCGAACUCUCGUUAAGGAACUCGGCAAAAUGACCCCGUAACUUCGGGAGAAGGGGUGCUCUUUAGGGUUAACGCCCAGAAGAGCCGCAGUGAAUAGGCCCAAGCGACUGUUUAUCAAAAACACAGGUCUCUGCUAAACCGUAAGGUGAUGUAUAGGGGCUGACGCCUGCCCGGUGCUGGAAGGUUAAGAGGAGUGGUUAGCUUCUGCGAAGCUACGAAUCGAAGCCCCAGUAAACGGCGGCCGUAACUAUAACGGUCCUAAGGUAGCGAAAUUCCUUGUCGGGUAAGUUCCGACCCGCACGAAAGGCGUAACGAUUUGGGCACUGUCUCAACGAGAGACUCGGUGAAAUCAUAGUACCUGUGAAGAUGCAGGUUACCCGCGACAGGACGGAAAGACCCCGUGGAGCUUUACUGUAGCCUGAUAUUGAAAUUCGGCACAGCUUGUACAGGAUAGGUAGGAGCCUUUGAAACGUGAGCGCUAGCUUACGUGGAGGCGCUGGUGGGAUACUACCCUAGCUGUGUUGGCUUUCUAACCCGCACCACUUAUCGUGGUGGGAGACAGUGUCAGGCGGGCAGUUUGACUGGGGCGGUCGCCUCCUAAAAGG
Molecule: ribosomal RNA, 2251 nt
Filed under: Staphylococcus aureus
Lineage: Bacteria; Bacillati; Bacillota; Bacilli; Caryophanales; Staphylococcaceae
Description: bacterial LSU rRNA
Rfam family: Bacterial large subunit ribosomal RNA
Source: RNAcentral